AUCCUUGCGGAAGGGGCAAAAUCGUUGCACGUGACGCCUAGCGGAUGCGCGAUAAUUGCUAGUUGAAAACUACUCCAAUUCCCGUUCGAAGUUAACUCUUCGGCAAUUUUUGGAACCCACGG
Molecule: small nuclear RNA, 122 nt
Filed under: Babesia microti strain RI
Lineage: Eukaryota; Apicomplexa; Aconoidasida; Piroplasmida; Babesiidae
Description: U4 spliceosomal RNA
Rfam family: U4 spliceosomal RNA
About the family: U4 small nuclear RNA (U4 snRNA) is a component of the major U2-dependent spliceosome. The structure of U4 snRNA from yeast and human has been reported.
Source: Rfam by way of RNAcentral